Molecule: ribosomal RNA, 253 nt
Filed under: uncultured bacterium
Lineage: Bacteria
Description: partial 16S ribosomal RNA
Rfam family: Bacterial small subunit ribosomal RNA
Source: RNAcentral
UACGUAGGGGGCGAGCGUUGUCCGGAGUUACUGGGCGUAAAGGGCAUGCAGGCGGUCCGACACGUUUUGUGUGACAGCGGGUGGCUUAACUACCCGAGGAUGCGAAAGACGGUUGGACUUGAGGACUCGAGAGGGACACGGAAUUCCGGGUGGAGUGGUGAAAUGCGUAGAGAUCCGGAGGAACACCGAAGGCGAAGGCAGUGUCCUGGCGAGUGACUGACGCUGAGGUGCGAAAGCCAGGGGAGCGAACGGG